UUGGGCCGACAGGAAGAUCUCGUCGUCGCGCAACAAUGGCGUCAGUGUCAGGCGUCGUGAUGAAGCUGAGGAUCUUCUUCUCUCUUCUCGGGAUUCUGGUAGGAUUAUCCGUCGUCUUUGUCUUCGGAAUUAAAUUCCACAACUGGAAUAUUGCCCUCUGGGGCCUCCUAUCAGCGAUCCCUGCCUCAUUGACUUUCUCUCUUCACAUAUGUUACCUGAAAGGUGUUUGGCAAACUUAUCCGUAUCGACUCAAAUAUAUGGUCAUCACAGGAUGUUUCUUCCAGUUGGCAGGAAUUAUUGGUUUCGUCACUUACCUGGCAUUGGGAUUCUAUUUUCAACAAGGUUUACAGAUUUACGGGAAUGGUUACUUCCUGACCACAGUUUGGUGCUUCAUGACCUGGAAAUGGGGUCUCCUGCUCUUGUACUUCACUCGAUCUUACCGCCAGUUACUCUGUGAUGUUUACACUAUUUUGCCAACAGAAGCGCCACCUUUGAAUGGUGACGAUUGAGGUGGAAACGGAUUGAAGACAUAUCAAGUGGAAUCAUUCAGAACCAAAGUUGUGGCAUUCAUGGAGUGUUCCUGUAAGAAUUUAAAGAGUUGUUGGUGAAUUUCAACGGUUGUUGUAAUGGGACCAAUGACCAGCACUGCCAUCACCAAUAUCUCCGCUGUCUCAGACAAUGUUGUAUUUCUUUGUGGUUGCCUGUGAGAUGGUUUUGGGAUGCUCUGUGAAAAUAUUUCUUCCAGUCCAUGAAAACAUGCUGAAUGUUGGUGUAGUUGGUAAUCCUUAGACAAGAUUCUUGGAUGCAGCCAGCAGAAACGUUAGCAUGCUGGGCAAAAUGCUUCUUGCUAUUUCAUCUGCCGUUACGUUCAAAUUCCAUCAAGGCUGACUUUGCCUUUCAUCCUUUUGGGGUCGAUAAAUUAAGUACCAGUUACACACUGGGGUCGAUGAAAUCGACUUAAAUCUCUUUGUCCUUGUUUAGCCCCUUGUGGGCAAUAAAGACAUAAGAUUCUUGGAUGCACAAUAUCUGCCUUCUGGCAGAAACUGGGCGAAAUGCUUAGCCAUAUUUUGUCUGUCUUUACGUUCUGAGUUCAAAUUCUGCCAAGGUCGACUUUGCCUUUCAUUCUUUCGGAAUCAAUAAAUUAAGUACCAGUUAUGUACUGGGGUCAAUCUAGUCGACUGCCCACCCACCACCCUCCCCAGAAAUUUCAGGCCUUGUGCCUACAGUAGAAAAGAAUAUCUGCCUUGUGGUGGUCUGGUCCAUGACAGAGCCUGCCUGUUUGUUCUGUGGUAUUUGCCAUUCUGUUUUUUAAGUCUGUUCACUUUCACUGACCAACCAGAAUGGCUGCUUGAUAUGAGAUUCUGUGACGGUUCAACGUUUCCUUUUUUACGACUCAUGGCAAACCAGGAUUUUGUCUUCGAUGUAAAUUAUUUUUGAUAUUUACCAAAUAGGUGCAGGAGUGGCUGUGUGGUAAGUAGCUUGCUUACCAACCACAUGGUUCCGGGUUCAUUCCCACUGCGUGGCACCU
Molecule: unclassified non-coding RNA, 1528 nt
Filed under: Octopus sinensis (East Asian common octopus)
Lineage: Eukaryota; Metazoa; Mollusca; Cephalopoda; Octopoda; Octopodidae
Description: heme transporter hrg1-A-like, transcript variant X2
Source: RNAcentral